RNAcentral lists this non-coding RNA (436 nucleotides) under Parastagonospora nodorum SN15. Its description in RNAcentral is "Phaeosphaeria nodorum SN15 Eukaryotic small subunit ribosomal RNA". It matches the Rfam family "Eukaryotic small subunit ribosomal RNA", at positions 1 to 439 of the family's 1831-position model. Lineage: Eukaryota; Fungi; Ascomycota; Dothideomycetes; Pleosporales; Phaeosphaeriaceae. The record is from Rfam by way of RNAcentral.
UACCUAGUUAAUUCUGCUAGUAGUCAUAUGCUUAUCUUAAAGAUUAAGCUAUGCAUGUCUAAGUAUAAGCAAUUAUACUAUGAAACUGCAAAUAGCUUAUUAAAUUAGUUAUUAUUUAUUUAAUAGUACCUUACUACUUAGAUAACCUGCUAGUAAUUCUAGAGCUAAUAUAUGCUAAAAACUCUAACUUUAGGAGAGGUAUAUUUAUUAGAUAAAAAACCAACGCCCUUUAGAGCUUCUUAGUAAUUUAUAAUAACUUUACAGAUUGCAUAGCCUUGCGCCGGCGACAGUUUAUUUAAAUUUCUGCUCUAUUAACUUUCGAUAGUAAGGUAUUAGCUUACUAUAGUUUCAAUAGGUAACGGGGAAUUAGAGUUCAAUUCUAGAGAGAGAGCCUAAGAAAUAGCUACUAUAUCUAAGGAAGGCAGCAGGCGCGCAA